RNAcentral lists this ribosomal RNA (301 nucleotides) under uncultured bacterium. RNAcentral's name for it is "partial 16S ribosomal RNA". It matches the Rfam family "Bacterial small subunit ribosomal RNA", at positions 509 to 807 of the family's 1533-position model. The record is from RNAcentral.
CAGUAGCCGCGGUAAUACGAGGGGGGCAAGCGUUGUUCGGAAUUAUUGGGCGUAAAGGGUGCGUAGGCGGUUUGGCAAGUUUGGUGUGAAAUCUUCGGGCUCAUCUCGAAGUCUGCAUCGAAAACUGCCGGGCUUGAGUAUGGGAGAGGUGAGUGGAAUUUCCGGUGUAGCGGUGAAAUGCGUAGAUAUCGGAAGGAACACCUGUGGCGAAAGCGGCUCACUGGACCAUAACUGACGCUGAUGCACGAAAGCUAGGGGAGCAAACAGGAUUAGAGACCCGAGUAGUCCCUGUCUCUUAUAC